Molecule: non-coding RNA, 3387 nt
Organism: Vigna umbellata (rice bean)
Lineage: Eukaryota; Viridiplantae; Streptophyta; Magnoliopsida; Fabales; Fabaceae
Source: RefSeq, a predicted model, not a curated record
AGAAGGAAACAAAAAUAAACCAUUUUCUUCCCUCCACUACCUUUUUUGUUGCAGAUGGAGUGAGAAGAGAAGAAGCAAAGGGAAAAAAACAACAACCACUGUCACCAAGUGUAAGAAACACACGCACAAACACUUGGCGUGCCUCUUCAUGACUGUAGUUGUUGCGUUCAUAGCUAUAGAGAGAGAAGGUGAAUGAAACGGGGUUUGGUUAUGCCUUUGGAAAACCUUAAUCUGAUAUGUAUCAGAGCAGCAUUGGCGCACACCGCCUCGCCUACCGCUCUCACAUAUCCAAGUUUGUAAAAGCCGGUCUCAUCAACCACGCGAUCCACCUGUUCGACCAAAUGACCCAAUCCAAUUGCCGCGUCUUCAGCGUCGACUACAACCGCUUCAUCGGCGUCCUCAUUCGUCACUCCCGCCUCCACCACGCCCACCACUACUACCGCCACCACGUCAUCCCUCGCGGCUUCUCCCUCCUCCCCUUCACCUACUCCCGCUUCAUCUCAGCCCUCUGCUCCUCCCCCAACAACCUCCCCGUCAUCCAGGACCUCCUCCUCGACUUGCAUGCUCUCGGCUUCGUCCCCGACAUUUGGGCCUUCAACACUUACCUCAGCUUCUUGUGCCGCCACAAUCGCUUAGAAACCGCCCUCGAACUCUUCCACUCCGUGCCCUCCAAGGGGAGAGAGCCCGACGUUGUUUCUUAUACUAUUAUCGUUGACGCGUUGUGCAAAGCUCAACGCUUCGACGAGGCUGCUAGGGUUUGGCGUGGUUUGACUGGCAAAGGUUUGAGCCCUGAUUUUAAAGCCUGUGUUGCUAUUGUUGUUGGUUUGUGCGGUGGGGGUCGCGUUGAUUUGGCCUAUGAGCUUGUUGUCGAUGUGAUCAAGGGUGGGGUGAAGGUUAAUAUCUUGGUUUACAAUGCUUUGAUUGAUGGGUUUUGUAGAAUGGGAAGGGUUGAUAAGGCGAUGAAGAUUAAAGCGUUUAUGAGCCGCAAUGGGUGUGUGCCGGAUUUGGUUACUUAUAAUAUACUGUUGAAUUACUGUUGUGACGAGGGGAUGGUGGAUGAUGCCCUGCGGAUGGUGGAGACAAUGGAGCGGAGCGGGGCGGAGCCGGAUUUGUAUAGCUAUAAUGAGCUGUUGAAAUGUUUUUGCAAGGCUAAUAUGGUGGACAAGGCUUAUAUGAUGCUGGUUGAGAGGAUGCAGACCAAAGGACUGUGUGAUGUUGUUUCGUAUAAUACUCUUAUCACAGCAUUCUGUAAGUUGCGCCGUACUAGGAGAGGUUAUGAGUUGUUUGAGGAGAUGUGUGGGAAGGGGAUUAGGCCAGAUAUGGUGACGUUUAAUAUACUUAUUGAUGCCUUUCUAAGAGAAGGAAGUAUCCAAGUGGUUAAGAAACUGCUUGAUGAAAUGACAAGGGUGAGCAUUCUUCCUGAUCGUAUAUUCUAUACUGCAGUAGUUGAUCAUAUGUGCAAGACUGGAAAGGUUGAUACGGCUCAUAGUGUUUUCCGUGACAUGGUGGAGAAUGGGGUAAAUCCGGAUGUAAUCUCUUACAAUGCACUUGUAAAUGGAUUCUGUAAGGCUUCUAGAGUUAUGGAAGCCAUGCGUCUAUAUGAUGAAAUGCAGAGGAAUGGUUUGUACCCUGAUGAGGUAACUUUCAAGUUGAUAGUUGGAGGGCUUAUAAAUGGGAAAAAACUUUCACUGGCCUGUAGGGUUUGGGAUCAGAUGAUGGAGAAAGGCUUAACACUUGACAGGCAUCUUUCUGAGACUCUAGUAAAUGCCAUUCAAUCAAGUGAAGGUGCAUGAACAUGGCCCUAGUUUACGUUGUUAUCCUCUCAAAUUCAUCACAUUUUUCUUUCAAAAGGGAAACAUGACAUAAAACAUUUUCUCUGGAUACAAUGCACCAAAGCUUAGCAAAGUCGACUUCAAACAUUUUCUGCAGCAUGGAACUUCAGCCUUCUCUAAAGAAAUGUUACCGUGAUCAUUACAAUUAUUCAAAGUAUGUUUCUACUUUUUUUAAUUCAGCACAUUCAUUUAUUAGAGAGCUAUUAUAUUCAGUAUGAUUUUGUCGACCAAUGGAACAAAACAAACAAAAUAUCGUAAGGAAAAAAUGGAUGUAUGAAUCAUUUAAAAGGUUGCAUUGUGUUUCAGAACGCUGUUGAGAAUCAAUGGAGACUGACUGGAAACUGCAAUAUCUAAAGUUAUUUGGUAAAUUUUCACAUUUGUCAGUGGACUGCUUUAUAGUUCAUUUAUGCGAGAGACUCUUAAAUUAAAAUAACGCUUUCUGCAGUUGGCAGUUGUUACAUUUAGGUAGAUAAUAUCAUGGUGCUGUGUAUUCUCUGUAGUUGUAUUGAACCUAAGGAAUUAGAACAUGUUUUGACUGCAACUUUGAUUAUUUGUUUGAUUUGGGAAGGUGGGGGAAGGGUUGAUAUCUGGUUUUUGUCUAUGAAACAAAAUAAGUAUAUGAUAUCAAUGUUCCCUAGUUCAUUGCAUGCUGGUAUUUCCUUGUUGAUAGAUUCUACCCUAGACGACGUUGAACCUUGGAACAGAUUAGCUGAAUGACAACUGCAACCAGCACAAAAAGCAGUUUGCAGAUUGGUUUGAUACACAAUUGAAGAAACACAAGUAAAAGGGGCUAAGAGUAAGUUCAGGUGAAGGACAUAAGUUUGAUGAUUUCCCGAUGGUAGUGAAUCAUCUAGGAUCACCAUCCAACCAACUUCUGGAGUAGGAAAGAAAAAUCGGAAAUGAUUAAGAAAAUGCCAUGUUGGUUCAAAUGCCAGUAAAUUUAUUGUAUUAAGAAAACUAGUUUCAAAACUGCUACAUUUUAGAGUUCGUUUGGAAAAGUGCAGUGUUGAGAUUGGGUUGACAACUCCAUUCAUUCACUCACUUUCUUGACUGUGUAUUAAUCAAAGAUUUUCAUUUCAAUGACAAAUAUUUCUCCAAUGUGGUAUCCCAAGCCCUUCAUUCAAACAUAUUAUUACACAAAUUGUAGAAAUUCCUAACCAGCUCCGUUUCUAAUAUAAUCCCAGGCCAUAAAAUGAAAGUGGGCUUAAAAUUGUGUGAAUAUAUGAUAGAAGGAAAAGAAAUACAUUAUUUCCUGCAGUAUUGAACAUCAUCAGACCGGGAAUAAUCAAUUGCGAGGUCUGUAGUCAAAGUUUUGUGACAAAUUUACAGAUGAAACAGUGUUUGAUUUCCUGCAUUUCUUUUGUCGCAGGCUUCUCGCUGAAUUCCUAUUUAAUCCAUGUUGAAGUUUUAUACUUUCUAGAUUACUGUGUAUUUGGGUCCUAUACUUGCUUUGCCUUCCAUUGCUUUAAUGUUGGGCAUCUAAAGAAUAUCAAAAUCAUGUCUCCGUUCUGUUGGAAUUUCUUUUGUUUAGAUCAUCUAAAACAUGGGUACUUGA